GGUCAUGAGAGUGAGAGCCCGGAGACGGACUCUGAGACACGAGUCCGGGCCCUACGGGGCGCAGCAGGCGCGAAACCUUUACACUGCACGACAGUGCGAUAGGGGGACACCGAGUGCGAGGGCAUAGAGCCCUCGCUUUUCUGAACCUUAAGGUGGUUCAGGAACAAGGGCUGGGCAAGACCGGUGCCAGCCGCCGCGGUAACACCGGCAGCCCAAGUGAUGGCCGAUUUUAUUGGGCCUAAAGCGUCCGUAGCUGGCCGCGCAAGUUCGUCGGGAAAUCCACGCGCUUAACGUGUGGGCGUCCGGCGAAAACUGUGCGGCUUGGGACCGGAAGAUCUGAGGGGUACGUCUGGGGUAGGAGUGAAAUCCCGUAAUCCUGGACGGACCACCGAUGGCGAAAGCACCUCAGAAGGACGGAUCCGACAGUGAGGGACGAAAGCUAGGGUCUCGAACCGGAUUAGAUACCCGGGUAGUCCUAGCCGUAAACGAUGCUCGCUAGGUGUGGCACAGGCUACGAGCCUGUGCUGUGCCGUAGGGAAGCCGUGAAGCGAGCCGCCUGGGAAGUACGUCUGCAAGGAUGAAACUUAAAGGAAUUGGCGGGGGAGCACUACAACCGGAGGAGCCUGCGGUUUAAUUGGACUCAACGCCGGACAUCUCACCAGCUCCGACAGCAGUAAUGACGAUCAGGUUGAUGACCUUAUUCGAGCUGCUGAGAGGAGGUGCAUGGCCGCCGUCAGCUCGUACCGUGAGGCGUCCUGUUAAGUCAGGCAACGAGCGAGACCCGCACCUCUAGUUGCCAGCAGCAUCUCGCGAUGGCUGGGUACACUAGGGGGACUGCCGUCGCUAAGACGGAGGAAGGAACGGGCAACGGUAGGUCAGUAUGCCCCGAAUGAGCUGGGCUACACGCGGGCUACAAUGGCCAAGACAAUGGGAUGCGACACCGAGAGGUGGAGCUAAUCUCCUAAACUUGGUCGUAGUUCGGAUUGUGGGCUGAAAUUCGCCCACAUGAAGCUGGAUUCGGUAGUAAUCGCGUGUCACAAGCGCGCGGUGAAUACGUCCCUGCUCCUUGCACACACCGCCCGUCAAAGCACCCGAGUGGGGUCCGGAUGAGGCCUGGUUCCCAGGUCGAAUCUGGGCUCCGCAAGGGGGCUU
This 1152-nucleotide ribosomal RNA is filed under the name Natronomonas sp. DV462A. RNAcentral's name for it is "bacterial SSU rRNA". It matches the Rfam family "Archaeal small subunit ribosomal RNA", at positions 272 to 1429 of the family's 1478-position model. The record is from RNAcentral. Lineage: Archaea; Methanobacteriati; Methanobacteriota; Halobacteria; Halobacteriales; Natronomonadaceae.